Molecule: ribosomal RNA, 443 nt
Filed under: uncultured bacterium
Lineage: Bacteria
Description: partial 16S ribosomal RNA
Rfam family: Bacterial small subunit ribosomal RNA
Source: RNAcentral
CCUACGGGCGGCAGCAGUGGGGAAUAUUGGACAAUGGGGGGAACCCUGAUCCAGCGACGCCGCGUGAGUGAAGAAGUAUUUCGGUGUUUAAAGCUCUAUCAGCAGGGAAGAAAGAAAUGACGGUACCUGACUAAGAAGCCCCGGCUAACUACGUGCCAGCAGCCGCGGUAAGACGGAGGGGGCAAGCGUUAUCCGGAUUGACUGGGUGUAAGGGGAGCGUAGACGGCGAUGCAAGUCUGAAGUGAAAGGGGGGGGCCCAACCCCCGGACUGCUUGGGAAACUGUAUGGCUGGAGUGCAGGAGAGGUAAGUGGAAUUCCUAGUGUAGCGGUGAAAUGCGUAGAUAUUAGGAGGAACACCAGUGGCGAAGGCGGCUUACUGGACUGUAACUGACGUUGAGGCUCGAAAGCGUGGGGAGCAAACAGGAUUAGAUACCCUGGUAGUC